CGGCGGGCCUAACACAUGCAAGUCGCACGAGAAAAGGGCUUCGGCCCCGAGUAAAGUGGCGGACGGGUGAGUAACACGUGGGUAAUCUACCUUACUGUGGGGGAUAACAGUCCGAAAGGAUUGCUAAUACCGCAUACGUCGGCGAGGUCUUCGGACUUUGCCGGGAAAGCCGGCCACUCCAUGGAAGCUGGCGCAGGAAGAGGAGCCCGCGGCCCAUCAGCUAGUUGGUAGGGUAACGGCCUACCAAGGCAAAGACGGGUAGCUGGUCUGAGAGGAUGAUCAGCCACACUGGGACUGAGACACGGCCCAGACUCCUACGGGAGGCAGCAGUGGGGAAUAUUGGGCAAUGGGCGCAAGCCUGACCCAGCCACGC
Molecule: ribosomal RNA, 373 nt
Filed under: uncultured bacterium
Lineage: Bacteria
Description: bacterial SSU rRNA
Rfam family: Bacterial small subunit ribosomal RNA
Source: RNAcentral